GAAAUGCGAUAAGUAAUGUGAAUUGCAGAAUUCAGUGAAUCAUCGAAUCUUUGAACGCACAUUGCGCCCGCCAGUAUUCUGGCGGGCAUGCCUGUUCGAGCGUCAUUACAACCCUCAGGCCCCCCGGCCUGGCGUUGGGGAUCGGCGGAAGCCCCCUGCGGGCACAACGCCGUCCCCCAAAUACAGUGGCGGUCCCGCCGCAGCUUCCAUUGCGUAGUAGCUAACACCUCGCAACUGGAGAGCGGCGCGGCCACGCCGUAAAACACCCAACUUCUGAAUGUUGACCUCGAAUCAGGUAGGAAUACCCGCUGAACUUAAGC
This 320-nucleotide unclassified non-coding RNA is filed under the name plant metagenome. RNAcentral describes it as "partial contains 5.8S ribosomal RNA, internal transcribed spacer 2, and large subunit ribosomal RNA". The stretch from base 1 to 105 matches the Rfam family "5.8S ribosomal RNA", at positions 50 to 154 of the family's 154-position model. The record is from RNAcentral.